AACGAACGCUGGCGGCAUGCCUAACACAUGCAAGUCGAACGAGACCUUCGGGUCUAGUGGCGCACGUGUGCGUAACGCGUGGGAACCUGCCCUUAGGUUCGGAAUAACUCCCCGAAAGGGGUUCUAAUACCGGAUAAUGUCUUCGGACCAAAGAUUUAUCGCCUUUGGAUGGGCCCGCGUUGGAUUAGCUAGUUGGUAGGGUAAAAGCCUACCAAGGCGACGAUCCAUAGCUGGUCUGAGAGGAUGAUCAGCCACACUGGGACUGAGACACGGCCCAGACUCCUACGGGAGGCAGCAGGGGGGAAUAUUGGACAAUGGGCGAAAGCCUGAUCCAGCAAUGCCGCGUGAGUGAUGAAGGCCUUAGGGUUGUAAAGCUCUUUUACCCGGGAUGAUAAUGACAGUACCGGGAGAAUAAGCUCCGGCUAACUCCGUG
RNAcentral lists this ribosomal RNA (433 nucleotides) under uncultured bacterium. RNAcentral describes it as "partial 16S ribosomal RNA". It matches the Rfam family "Bacterial small subunit ribosomal RNA", at positions 29 to 507 of the family's 1533-position model. The record is from RNAcentral.